GGCCUGAUGGUCUAGUAGUAUGAUUCCUUGUUAGGGUUCCUUUGGUGCCAUAUCGAGGAGGUCCCGGGUUCAAUUCCCGGUCAGGCCC
Molecule: transfer RNA, 88 nt
Filed under: Termitomyces sp. J132
Lineage: Eukaryota; Fungi; Basidiomycota; Agaricomycetes; Agaricales; Lyophyllaceae
Also listed under: 2 other names
Rfam family: tRNA
About the family: Transfer RNA (tRNA) molecules are approximately 80 nucleotides in length. Their secondary structure includes four short double-helical elements and three loops (D, anti-codon, and T loops).
Source: Rfam by way of RNAcentral